This 620-nucleotide ribosomal RNA is filed under the name uncultured bacterium. RNAcentral's name for it is "bacterial SSU rRNA". It matches the Rfam family "Bacterial small subunit ribosomal RNA", at positions 8 to 643 of the family's 1533-position model. The record is from RNAcentral.
AGAGUUUGAUCAUGGCUCAGGAUGAACGCUGGCGGCGUGCCUAACACAUGCAAGUCGAGCGAUUCUCCUCGGAGAAGAGCGGCGGACGGGUGAGUAACGCGUGGGUAACCUGCCCUGUACACACGGAUAACAUACCGAAAGGUAUGCUAAUACGAGAUAAUAUGCUUUUAUCGCAUGGUAGAAGUAUCAAAGCUCCGGCGGUACAGGAUGGACCCGCGUCUGAUUAGCUAGUUGGUAAGGUAACGGCUUACCAAGGCGACGAUCAGUAGCCGACCUGAGAGGGUGAUCGGCCACAUUGGAACUGAGACACGGUCCAAACUCCUACGGGAGGCAGCAGUGGGGAAUAUUGCACAAUGGGCGAAAGCCUGAUGCAGCAACGCCGCGUGAGCGAUGAAGGCCUUCGGGUCGUAAAGCUCUGUCCUCAAGGAAGAUAAUGACGGUACUUGAGGAGGAAGCCCUGGCUAACUACGUGCCAGCAGCCCGCGGUAAUACGUAGGGGGGCUAGCGUUAUCCGGGAAUUACUGGGGCGUAAAGGGUGCGUAGGUGGGUUUCUUAAGUUCAGAGGGUGAAAGGGCUACGGCUUCAAACCGUAGUUAAGCCCUUUGAAACUGGGGAAACUU